This is a non-coding RNA of Zootermopsis nevadensis, 303 nucleotides long. NCBI's taxonomy places the organism in Eukaryota, Metazoa, Arthropoda, Insecta, Blattodea, Termopsidae. The record is from RefSeq and is a predicted model, not a curated record.
AUUGAACGACGUCAUAUGUCGUCCUUACAGACCGCAUACGGUGACCAAGCUGUGUCGACCCUAAACGAUGUCCGAGCUUUGAAGGGAAAUCGAGAACUUGAAUGGAGUGACCUGAUGGGCUUCCCUGUGGCUGUACGAAGGAUAGAAGCGUUAAGAAAAUCCCAUUUACGAGAAUGGCUGGAAGCUCUAUUUGGAUCUGCAUAAACGUCACACGCGGUCCGAUAGGACACCAGCAGCUACAAAGACCACGGACAAAAGUUAGGCCUAUAUUUUAAAAUAAUAAAAAAUUAUCGUACUGCGUUA